ACUGAGUGCCAGGGGUGGGAGGGUUAUGAUUUGUUAUGAGUCUCUCAUUCCCAAUAUGGAACCCAAGUCACCUCUAGACAGACAAUCGUUUUUCUUAUACUUUUGCCUCAUGGAUUUCAAACUAUGCUUCAGGAGAGAGGAAGGAUUCUGAGGCUAGGAAUGAAGUGGCUCUAAUAAUGUGUCGUCUCAAGGAGCUGAAUCAGAAUCCAAAGAGAAGAAGGCUGCCCUCUACACAGUCUCAGAUUCUUAUCCUUGGCUCCCCUGCUUAGAACAUCAAACUGACCUCUGGACUCUGAUAAAUGUAUGAAGAGAGAAGUGGAGCCAACGGGUGGUAAAUUCCAAAGGCCCACAUAGCAUGUCGAAGAAAAUAUAUUUGUUGGCUACAGCUGGCCCCUACGCCACCAGCUGUACAUACGUUAUGGGAGUGAAAUAAUCUGAGAUGGCUCUGCUCCUGGGCCUGCCAUAACAUCUUCAAUCUACCAUCUCUCCCCACCCCUACACGAGGACCAAAUAUGACUACCCAAGCACAAAAGCGGCCAUCAAAGAGACUCAUGCUUCUCUGGGAACAAGCAGCUCAUCGACAUCUAGGAAAUACGACAAAACCCUGGGGUCUACCUAAGUUGGCUGAAUAAUGGAAAGCCAGUUCCUGC
This 650-nucleotide long non-coding RNA is filed under the name Equus caballus (horse). RNAcentral's name for it is "lncRNA (ENSECAG00000051164.1)". The record is from RNAcentral. Lineage: Eukaryota; Metazoa; Chordata; Mammalia; Perissodactyla; Equidae.